GAUGAACGCUAGCUACAGGCUUAACACAUGCAAGUCGAGGGACGGGCGCGCGGGGGAGUAACACGUAUCCAACCUGCCCUUUACUCGGGGAUAGCCUUUCGAAAGAAAGAUUAAUACCCGAUAUAAAGGAUGGGGAUGCGUUCGAUUAGGUUGUUGGUGAGGGAACGGCACACCAAGCCUUCGAUGGAUAGGGGUUCGGAUAGGAAGGCCCACCGGAAUGGAACUGCGGCCCGGACCCAACCCCGAGGGGGGGCUGCAGUAAGGAAUAUUAGUCAAUGGGCGCUAGCCUGACCCAGCCAAGUAUCGUGAAGGAUGAUGGCUUAUGGGUCGUAAAUUACUUUUAUAUAAGAAUAGGUAUCAUAUGAAUAAGGACCGGCUAACUCCGUGCCAGCAGCCGCGGUAAUAC
Molecule: ribosomal RNA, 406 nt
Filed under: uncultured bacterium
Lineage: Bacteria
Description: partial 16S ribosomal RNA
Rfam family: Bacterial small subunit ribosomal RNA
Source: RNAcentral